AGAUCUUGGUUCAGAACGAACGCUGGCGGCGUGCUUAACACAUGCAAGUCGAACGCGAAAGGGACUUCGGUCCUGAGUAAAGUGGCGCACGGGUGAGUAACGCGUAGAUAACCUGUCUUCAUGUCUGGAAUAAUACGCCGAAAGGGGUACUAAUACCGGAUAUUCUUGCUUUUCAUAAGUUAUGCAAGCAAAGGUGGCCUCUGCAUAUGCUACUGCAUGAAGAGGGGUCUGCGUACCAUUAGCUAGUAGGUGGGGUAAUGGCCUACCUAGGCGACGAUGGUUAGCGGGUCUGAGAGGAUGAUCCGCCACACUGGCACUGGAACACGGGCCAGACUCCUACGGGAGGCAGCAGUGAGGAAUAUUGCGCAAUGGGGGAAACCCGUGACGCAGCAACGCCGCGUGAGUGAGGAAGGCCUUCGGGUCGUAAAGCUCUGUCAAGAGGAAAGAAGUGUACAAUGGCUAAUACCUGUUGUAUUUGACGGUACCUCUAAAGGAAGCACCGGCUAACUCCGUGCCAGCCGCCGC
RNAcentral lists this ribosomal RNA (525 nucleotides) under uncultured bacterium. Its description in RNAcentral is "bacterial SSU rRNA". It matches the Rfam family "Bacterial small subunit ribosomal RNA", at positions 14 to 518 of the family's 1533-position model. The record is from RNAcentral.